AACGAACGCUGGCGGCAUGCCUAACACAUGCCAGUCGAACGAGACCUUCGGGUCUAGUGGCGCACGGGUGCGUAACGCGGGGGAACCUGCCCUUAGGUUCGGAAUAACUCCCCGAAAGGGGUGCUAAUACCGGAUAAUGUCUUCGGACCAAAGAUUUAUCGCCUUUGGAUGGGCCCGCGUUGGAUUAGCUAGUUGGUAGGGUAAAAGCCUACCAAGGCGACGAUCCAUAGCUGGUCUGAGAGGAUGAUCAGCCACACUGGGACUGAGACACGGCCCAGACUCCUACGGGAGGCAGCAGUGGGGAAUAUUGGACAAUGGGCGAAAGCCUGAUCCAGCAAUGCCGCGUGAGUGAUGAAGGCCUUAGGGUUGUAAAGCUCUUUUACCCGGGAUGAUAAUGACAGUACCGGGAGAAUAAGCUCCGGCUAACUCCGUG
Molecule: ribosomal RNA, 433 nt
Filed under: uncultured bacterium
Lineage: Bacteria
Description: partial 16S ribosomal RNA
Rfam family: Bacterial small subunit ribosomal RNA
Source: RNAcentral